Lathyrus oleraceus (garden pea) is the source of this 602-nucleotide long non-coding RNA. RefSeq lists it as uncharacterized. The record is from RefSeq and is a predicted model, not a curated record. Lineage: Eukaryota; Viridiplantae; Streptophyta; Magnoliopsida; Fabales; Fabaceae. The transcript is spliced from 3 exons.
UUCAUAUUGUUGCAGGAUCAGGAUGAAAUGCUGCAUAUUGAAGGUUGCAAAACAAAGUUUCAGCCGCGGAACCGAGAGCUUGAAUUCGCAAAGCAAGAAUUCUCGAUUGCAGCAUGAAGUUUUCACGAUGCAGAGUGUAGAAAUUUAGGUGCCGAAUGAAGAAGAUGCAGAAUGAAGAAUGAAAAAUGAAGAGUGAAGAUUAAAAUCUCAAGAGUGAAGAAGAUUAAAAUCUGAAGAAUGAAGGGACAAUGUUGUGAAAAUGCCAGUGGGAUGAGUUUGUGAACCGUUGUAUCAAUGUGAUUUGCCAUGGUUGUCUUCAUAAGUUGGUGACUUAUUGGUAUAUGUUAAUCUGGCUUGAAAUUACAUGGUUGGAUUGGCUUUAUGUGGAAUGCUAUGGAAUUGGAUAUGGAUCGAAGCUUGGAAAUGCGAAAUUGAAAUGGAUUACUAUGCUUGGAAUCUAAUGUUAUGCUUAAUUUGAAUGGUUGCAUGUUGUAAUUUUUGAAAUUGGUGAAUUGGGUUUGUAACAAUGGAGACACCUUGCAUAUGGAAUAUCAAUGUAUGAAUAUGGAAUAUUAUUGUAUUGUUUUUAGUUUUGGAUUGAA